Molecule: long non-coding RNA, 300 nt
Filed under: Bos taurus (domestic cattle)
Lineage: Eukaryota; Metazoa; Chordata; Mammalia; Artiodactyla; Bovidae
Description: long non-coding RNA NONBTAT026576
Source: RNAcentral
CUAUUACUUGCUUAUAUAUCUCGGGAAUUAUUUUAUGCACAUUUAUCAACUGGUACUUAGGUUUAAAGUUGGCAUUUUCUUUUUAAGUUGGAAUUUUCACAUCCACAGAAGGGAGACUUAACUACAUAAUUUUCAGUAUACUUUGAUAUCCUGCCUUUUAAACAAUAACCAACAUUUUGAGUUGGGAAAUACAUAAUUACUUCUGGGGGAAGAAAUGGAACUUUUAACAUUUAAAGUUCAUUGUUUUAAAUGUUAAUUCCAUCCCCAACAUUUUUGUGUUACGUGAGGCUUUAUGAAAGU